UGCUGAUUAUAUUCUGGUAACAUUAAAUAUUUAGUUGAGAUCAUAUAUUAUGCUAGUAAAUAUGUAGAUAUUUCAGUUUGAGAAGGAAGUGUAGCCCAUCUUGCAGCAUUUUAAGAAUGAAGAAACCUUCUCUGAAUUAGUACCCUCCCUCUCAUUAAGACCCUGCCAUUUUAUUGUGCUCAGUCUUUAAACUCUUAGCUGGUUAAAGAAUACCAUGCUAAUGAUAUUUGCUGUGCUUCUUGAUUUAACUUUCUCAAAAUAUCAGUGUGCUCCGUUACUAACCUGCACCAGGCAUGGUGCACACAAUGUCUUACUGAUCAAAUUUACCUUUGUUUUCAACAGCAGAUGUUCCUUAGCAAGAUGACCUCUCCCUUAGGGGAUUUUUACUUGUACAUAUGAGAAGAAAAUUGGUUUGGAAUAAGUUGGGUGUAAUAAGUGACCUCAUCAUGGCACUGCAUUGGAUCUCCCAUACAGCUUUUCUGAUGGAGCUUCUGUUAAUGUUUGAGCAGCCUGUCCUGUUGUCAUCUGUCAAAACCAGCUAUUGUUUUUUUCUCUCUCUCUUUACUGUUGUGUAUAUUCCCGCAGAAUUCAUUAGGAUGCACUGCACCUCCAACCCCGAUUGGUGGAUGCCCUCCGAGGAGCAGAUAAACAAAGUGUUCAGCGACGCUGUGGGUCAUGCCCGGCAGGGGCGGGCAGUGGGAACUUUCCUGCACAACGGUGGCUCAUUUUAUGAAGGAAUCGAUCACCAGGCUUCACAGGAUGAAGUCUUCAAUAAAAGUUCACAGGAUGGAUCUGGGGAUUAGUGGACAGAAUCUUCCCGCUGUAGCAGCUGGUCCUUUCAAGAGCUCCAAUUGUGAAUGUCCAUUUACCAUCACCUGAGAGUCCAAAGCAUGUUGUUCAGUCAUACUUCACACAUUCUCAACCUUAAAACUCCCUUGACCACAGUUCCCAAAUAGAAAUCCAUUUUAGGGUUGUUUGGGAAGUAUAUGGCACCUACAACAAAAGAAAGAAAUUGUAGUUGAUUUUAAGUGAUUACUGGCUAGACAGUGAGGGUAGAAAAAUAGGUGAGCUCCUACUCACCUGUCCGACAUCUUCAGGUAAGCUCUGCUUCUUGAGCAGAGGUAGCUUCAAGGAAUGGUGAGUUAGUGUUUGCCCAUGAGAGAAGGCAAGACAUGGGAGUUAUUGUGAGGGACAAAGAAAAAGUUUUCUCUUAUUUUAAUUCAAGUAAAUUGUCCAUGUUUUCCAAAUACUUGAAUUCUGAGUUCUCAGCAAAGAUAUCACAUGCUGUCUGUACGUAACAAAAAGUCUAUUAAUAAGAAGCCAGAGAACAGAGGCCAUUGGUAUAGACAGUGGUUAAUUGGAAGUUAACUACUUUUUUGUUGUUUUAUAAAGAAAACUUCCACUGUGUUGAUCAAAAGGGCACUGUGUGAUCUCUGGAGUUUACAAAUAGUAGUCAUUUUUCAUUAAGCCAAUCAAGAAACAUCCAAAGAUUCAAAAUCAUUUUCAAAUGUUUGAUAUCUUGGUUCAUAGAUGCAUAGGUUCCAUAGCAUUAAGUCUGGCUUUGUCAACACAAUGCCAAAGUAGCGGGUUGAACAGUGAUAAUUCCAUCAAUUAGUUUGGUGCACUGAGACCAAGCUCAUGGUGCAACCUAUGGUAUUUGCUGCACUGAUCAGAUGUUCAGGCACUGAGAACACACCUGCCUCAAGGCCAUUCUGAUAACUAUGCAAUGGGCUUGUUCAUAAUUUCUUCAAAAUUUGAGAGGUUUUCUGUGCUGUGUUGAUCUUUAGGUUUUAUCUGUUUCCCAUUGUCUUGAUGAAAAUGUCUCAUUCGAUCUGUGUGCCGCCUUUGCCCCAGGAUUCCCCUGCAUUCCAGACUCUGGCUCCGUUAACACUGUUCCACUCCAACUCAACUUCUCUUUAAUUUAUUGAGCUUCAUAUGUGAAAUUAGUGAUGUCUUUGGAACCUUUCCUAUCAACAAAUGCUACAGAGGUGCUAGAAUCAUUUCCAGAAGGUUAGUUGUUCAGCUUUGGAGGUGAGGAGAAAAUUCCUUUAGCAAACAAGUUCAGAUUAGUACAUUCUUUGUUGAACAAAGAACUAAAUGGGCAGCAUUUAUCGAAGGCUGUUAAUGUCAUCUGUGAACACAGGUUUUGAAAAUUGGAUGAAAAUUUUUAAUUCAUGAGCAUGCUAUAUUUUGUUAAAGUAAAAUCGCAAAUUCUUUGCAUUCAAUAAUUAGUAUCCAGUGUAUGUGAAAUCCUAAAAACUAAUCUUUCUUAAAAAGUUUGUCUAUGGAGAUGGUCAUUUCUCAGAUUUGUUGGACGAUUUAGGGAGAUCCUUUUGGGUGAAUUAGCUCAAGGUUGGAAGUAAAAUUAUGUAAGCAAAUUCAGUGUCUCUUAUGGCAACUGUGAGACCAAUAUCUUUGGCUAUUCAAGGAUGCAAGGAUACUUCUUGUGUUUUUAGAGGUCCAGAAAGUCAGUGUCUUAUGAGAUUUCUUUGAUGACAUGAAACCUUGUGCAGAAGAAAAACACCACCAUAGCCUCAUCUGUUUUUCCAUCUUUUUUCAUCCUGGGCUAUAGUCAUUACUGCAAGGUACAUUGUCAUUCUUCUGUAGCAGCAAUACUUGACCAUAGCUUUUAAGAAAAACUUCUCUUACUAUUUAUCUGUGAAUCUGAGGGUUCUGCACAUUUCUUCUCAUCUGUGCAUAGCCCUGCAUUGUGCUGUUCUUUCCUGAGGGUGGUGUGCAAUCUCAUGCAGCCUGCUUGUCACUUGAGCAGGGAAAGAACCCACAGAGUGGCUGGAGUUUUUUUCAUCACCAAGACAGCUGCUGUGCUAGGCUUGCCACACCACCUUUGUUCCAGAGGCAUACCUGCUCUCUUCCCUCCCCUGUACCCUCUUCCAGGUGAAUUAUCAGCUGUCUUUUAAUAUGCUACAAAUUCUAGACUGUUCAAACACAGAUUGGCUAUCUUGCACGUGAGGAAGUUAAGGCCCACAGGGAUAACUUACUCAGCAUCCCAUAGCCAGAUCUCAUGCUUCUCUUGGUGCCAAGACCUGUGAUCCCCAGCCUCGAGUCUUGUGUUCCAUCGUCCUCAACAGUAAGUCUUGUGCAUCCCACUUCUUUAGUUUACCGCCUGACCCAGGUACAACAUCAGUUCAGAUAAUCUGGCCCCUCUCCUUAGCACAGCACGCAUCUGUGCUGCCGUUUGAGCUUCACCUGUAGGGUAGUGUGUUACCUUUGUAUGUUAAAGAUUCCUACAUGGUCACCUCAUUGUUAAAUCGGAUCUUAGCAAAGGAUGUAUUUUUUGGUAAGGGUCAGCAGCCUCUGGCAGUUUUAACUCACCACUAAAAAUGACAUCCCAUUAUUGCUGUUAAGCUUUCCCAUGAUCUAGAGAUUUGGAGAUGUGGCUUGUUUUCUUGAUAGAUUUGCCACGUCUUUGGUAGUGAGACACAUUGUUCUUUUGUCGACUUUUCUCCUUGAAUCAUUUCAGCAUUGGUGUAAUUGUUAAAACUCUAGGAAUGCAGAUGUGUUCCAUUUCAUUGGUGAAAGGUGGUCCCAGGGCUAAUCUGACUGCAAAGACCAAAUGUGGCAAUUUUAUCAAUGGCUAGGUGGGUCCAGGGUACAAGCUAUCAGAAGAGUCCAUACCUACCAAAAGUGACAGUGUCUCGGCAUUUCUUGUGUUUUCCAUAUUUCUGCUUCUCAAAGUAAACUGAAGCCCCAGCAUGGUUCCAGCCAGGUUAAGGAUAACCCUGGAAAGAUCUGUCAGUAACUUAGAUCAGGAACCUGGGGAGGGGAGUAAUAUUCUGCAAGCCAUUGAACCAAGUCACAUUUCUCACACUUUCUGAUGGUGCAUUGUUCAGAAAUCUCAUGGUUGCUUCACCCAAGUGUUAAGUGCUUUUGAGAAAAACUGGAAACAUUUCAAUUUACUUGAAAGUGUUUUCUCCAGUCCUUAAACCUGGGCAGCCCUUCCUUGCUUGGUAUUCCUUGUUCCACCACAGCAUCAGUAAAAGUGAAGUGGGUGAGUGUAUAUUUUAGAUCAUUGUUUACCUCUUCAUAAGUAAUAAAACACAUUUAUAGAAGAGUGUCAUCAGGACUAUCAGGAGAUACAUAUGUAUGUUGUUAUAAUCUUUAAUUUACCCAGCUACUCUGUGUGGCAUCAAGUGAUGGUAACUGAUGUUGAUAAAAUGUUUUAAAUCCAGUAACUUUCUUGUAACGCCUGAUAUUUAUGCAAAAUCUAGACAAGAACCCAAACUUUAGAAUCUGCUGAUUUGUGAUUUCUACAUUUCCCUGCUGCUUUUAAUGACUUGUGCCUCCCUUCUGUUGCUCUCAAAAAAUGGAUGGAGCAUUAUAUAAAGAUGAAGUAUACAAUGUUUAGAAACACAAACACACAUUGCACUCUCAUUUGGAUUCUGUCAUUCAAUAUGUGCUCUAGACUUAAACCUAAUACCCAUUGACUACCUCCUCAGUUUAUUAGAUUUCAAUUUUUUAAAGUUUCAUUCUUAGAUAACGCAUUUAAAUGUAUAACUUCACUCAUUCAGUGCUAUGUCAUUUCAUAGUACAGAUCUGUGUUAAUUUUUGACAGCUCUUAUAUACAGAUUUGUAGAAAUGUAAUAGAAAAUGAUUUUGCACAUAUGGUGCAAAUCUUGCUGGUGUAAGUUUAAUGUAGUGACAUGUGCCAAAGCUGCUUGGCAAAACAUGUCAAAUAGAAUGCUCAAGUCAGAACUCUAAUGUAAAUGUGUCUAAACAACAGUAUGUAUCAUUAUGUAUUUUUGUAAACAUAGUGAUGGUUUCUUUCAGUCAUUUAAGUACUGGAUAAAAAUAACUGCUUCACUUGAAAUAAUGGAGGGAAAUGUCACCCAGACUAUGGCAAAGUUGCUUGCAUUGUUAGGCAGUGGCAUUGGAUUUUUCGUUUUCUUUUUUCUUUUUUUUUUUUUAACAGAAGUGUGAAUUGACAUCAGAAAACAUCAAGAAACCCCCCCUCUGAAAAAAAACCUCAUUAAGUACUUACCUUCUAAACGUAAAUGUUAAAACUUUAGCUGACAUGUUAACACAUUAGAGAUGACUAUUACCCUUCACCAGUAUAUCAAAUAGUGGGAAACAUUGCAAGGGUUGGACUUCUCUCAUCUAAUGACCACCAUGGUCAGUUUGAUUGUUGAAAGCAUUAAAUUACUAAAUCCCUGCAGUAACAGUGACUAGAUUAAGCUUUUCUCAUAAUUACCCAUAGCUGGUUAAUACAAGGCUUUGUUUUCAUUGAAUCACUAGUCCCCAGAUUGCAGUGAAAGUGCAUGUGCUAGUAGAACCCAUUCAAAAUCUGUUCAUUCUCAGAAUAAUUGCACUAGUAUAAGUGUCCAGAUGUGUCUUGGCCAUGUUGGAAAAGCUUCAGGCCCAUUCAAAACCACUAUGACUACAAUAGUUAACUACAGCUAACUAAGAAAUGCAACUAUUGUGUUCUGGUUUGCCAGUUGUUUUGAUAAGCACUGUAAUGCAUUCUUUCAUACAAUCACAGCUACCCCCUGAGGCCGUUCAUAUUAUCACUGUGUGUGGAUAAGGAAACUGCCCCGAGUGAUCCAUCAAGAUCAUUGUAGGUUCAGUAAGUGGGAUGACCAGUUCAGUUUUCCCUGGUAGUCAAAGCUCAGUUCUCAAAACUUAUCUACACUUCUAGGUGGAUUUUUUUUUUUUUUAACUUAAGCCAGCAAGGAAAAGUUGAUAUUUGUACUUAAAUAAGAGCAUACAAAACACAUAUCCUCUGAAAACUACCCAGGUUCCUGCAUAAAACUUGACCUAACAAUCUGUGAAGACCAGAAAAGUUUUAAUUUAAGUGAGUAGAUUAAAACUGCUAGUUCUUUCACAUUUGUCUUAUAGUCCUAGUAUUAAAAUAUAGGGAUAUAAAAAGGGGAAAAAAUCUAAUUUGGUGAAAUGACAGUCUUUGGGGGCUCCUAGAAGUGGCACUGGGCAUCGGCCAAUGUUCCAUUGUCUUUACAUUUGUUGUAUUUGUAGCCUUAGAGUUAAGUCAGGUGUGGAAGAGUGUUUUAAUUUACAAUGUCAUUGUGAAAAUGGUUGUGAAGAUUUUGUAGGCAAAUACAAUAAGUUGAUCUUUUCCUGUAGUUUUGGCUUUAACAUCAAUUCGGCUGUGUUUUUAAGUUCAAGCAUGCCAAGGUCAUGAGGGGCCUGGUCGAGCUUAGGAACAGGGCAUGCCAGAGGUAGGUCACAAAGCUUUCAAGGUCACUGGUCCAGCCUGACCCUGCCCAGUUUAAGCAUUGCCUUUAUGCCUCUCUCUAGAAUUUCAUGUAGCAGCCUAACAUUGGGGCCAACUUGCCUUUACUCUAUUUUCUAUGAUGAAUACUUGUGGAAAAACUGUGACAAAUCCAUUGAUCCUAAUAUUUUUAUUGUUGGAGUCUUGUGGAUUCUCUAUGAAUAAUUUCUAUUUGAUUGUACUGUGUAGAGUUAAUACCCAUUAGGGAAAUGUUAAUAAAACUACAAAUGCAUAGUGUAAUAUAGAAUAGAAAAGAAAAAAUUUUGUGAACAAUUUAUAUAGAAGAGUAAGUUGUUUUUUAAGUGUUAGGCACAUUUCUUUUAGGAACUUAAAAUGUUAUAAGAGUUUUUUAAACAUUCAAUAUUUUUAAUUAUAAGAGACAUUUGUUACUAGAGCCAAUUAUUUCAGGUGUUCUAAUUGGAGUAUUGAUUUUAUUACCUCAUAUACCUCUAGAAUGCCACAUGUUCUGUUGGGGAUAAAGUUGCACAAUAAAUGUCAAGUCUCUGUUAAGUGUUUUAAAUUGAUUUUUGCAUCUU
RNAcentral lists this long non-coding RNA (6780 nucleotides) under Marmota monax (woodchuck). The record is from RNAcentral. Lineage: Eukaryota; Metazoa; Chordata; Mammalia; Rodentia; Sciuridae.